RNAcentral lists this ribosomal RNA (443 nucleotides) under uncultured bacterium. RNAcentral describes it as "partial 16S ribosomal RNA". It matches the Rfam family "Bacterial small subunit ribosomal RNA", at positions 338 to 795 of the family's 1533-position model. The record is from RNAcentral.
CCUACGGGAGGCAGCAGUGGGGAAUAUUGGGCAAUGGGCGCAAGCCUGACCCAGCAACGCCGCGUGAAGGAAGAAGGCUUUCGGGUUGUAAACUUCUUUUCUCAGGGACGAAGCAAGUGACGGUACCUGCGGAAUAAGCCACGGCUAACUACGUGCCAGCCGCCGCGGUAAUACGUAGGUGGCAAGCGUUAUCCGGAUUUACUGGGGGUAAAGGGCGUGUAGGCGGGGACGCAAGUCAGAUGUGAAAACCACGGGCUCAACCUGUGGCCUGCAUUUGAAACUGGGUUUCUUGAGUACUGGAGAGGCAGACGGAAUUCCAGGUGUAGCGGUGAAAUGCGUAGAGAUUAGGAGGAACACCAGUGGCGAAGGCGGUCUGCUGGACAGCAACUGACGCUGAGGUGCGAAAGCGUGGGGAGCAAACAGGAUUAGAUACCCCAGUAGUC